UGGAUUUAGACCUCUAGCCAGCCU
RNAcentral lists this non-coding RNA (24 nucleotides) under Mus musculus (house mouse). Lineage: Eukaryota; Metazoa; Chordata; Mammalia; Rodentia; Muridae. The record is from RNAcentral.